Bombina bombina (fire-bellied toad) is the source of this 729-nucleotide long non-coding RNA. RefSeq lists it as uncharacterized. NCBI's taxonomy places the organism in Eukaryota, Metazoa, Chordata, Amphibia, Anura, Bombinatoridae. The transcript is spliced from 2 exons. The record is from RefSeq and is a predicted model, not a curated record.
CUACUACAGAGAAGAAGCAGAACUACAACUACUCUCUAUACUACUUCCUGUAGCUUCAGCUUCCGACUUCCGCCAGUUGCGUGACGUCACAUACACGGAAGUUCUCUGCGCUACUUUCCAACUCCCUGUGACUCGAAUGUCUGCUUGCCAUGGGAAUCCACUGGUUGCCUUGUCUACCCCAUGACCAAACCAUCAGAUUUCCAGCAUCUCCCUUCGGAAGAACACUGGAUAAGCACCCCUACUGCAAAUGAACUGUUGGAGAACUGUAUUAUAGCACAGUGUCUGAGCAAGGUGAAGCCCUCUAAAUGGACAAAGACUGUUCUUAAAAUGAUCAGAGGCCACCUAGAGACAGUUGUGCUGUUGCUAUGUCAUGCUUUACUGUGGAGAAGGAACUGUUGGACAUAUUGGGGGGUGCUAGCAAUGCAGGUGGAGAAAUAAAAGAGGCAGCGUUGUUUGGGGGUAGAUGGGGGGCUGGUUGGGUCUCUGUGCAGGUAGACCGGUAGUUUUGGGGAGGCUGGAAGAUAGAUGGAAGGUAUUGGAGAGGCUGCACCUAUAUGCAGUGACAAUUGGCCUAUAAAAGUAUAUCACGACAUGGGAAUAUUUUUCUCUUUAGUAUUCUCACAUAGAGUUCUGUUACCAUAAUAUAAGGCUUUACUAAUUUUCUAUGCCUGUCUAUUUUUAUGUUAUUCUGUUAGAAUAAAAGGAUGGUAUGUUAGGGGUAAUGUGAAA